UACGUAGGGUGCGAGCGUUAAUCGGAUUUACUGGGCGUAAAGCGUGCGCAGGCGGCCCGUUAAGACAGGUGUGAAAUCCCUGGGCUCAACCUAGGAAUUGCGCUUGUGACUGGCGGGCUCGAGUACGGUAGAGGGGGGUGGAAUUCCUGGUGUAGCAGUGAAAUGCGUAGAGAUCAGGAGGAACACCGAUGGCGAAGGCAGCCCCCUGGGCCAAGACUGACGCUGAGGUGCGAAAGCGUGGGGAGCAAACAGG
RNAcentral lists this ribosomal RNA (253 nucleotides) under uncultured microorganism. Its description in RNAcentral is "partial 16S ribosomal RNA". It matches the Rfam family "Bacterial small subunit ribosomal RNA", at positions 524 to 776 of the family's 1533-position model. The record is from RNAcentral.